Molecule: ribosomal RNA, 497 nt
Filed under: uncultured bacterium
Lineage: Bacteria
Description: partial 16S ribosomal RNA
Rfam family: Bacterial small subunit ribosomal RNA
Source: RNAcentral
GAUGAACGCUGGCGGCGUGCCUAAUACAUGCAAGUCGAGCGAACAGACGAGGAGCUUGCUCCUCUGACGUUAGCGGCGGACGGGUGAGUAACACGUGGAUAACCUACCUAUAAGACUGGGAUAACUUCGGGAAACCGGAGCUAAUACCGGAUAAUAUAUUGAACCGCAUGGUUCAAUAGUGAAAGACGGUUUUGCUGUCACUUAUAGAUGGAUCCGCGCCGCAUUAGCUAGUUGGUAAGGUAACGGCUUACCAAGGCAACGAUGCGUAGCCGACCUGAGAGGGUGAUCGGCCACACUGGAACUGAGACACGGUCCAGAAUCCUACGGGAGGCAGCAGUAGGGAAUCUUCCGCAAUGGGCGAAAGCCUGACGGAGCAACGCCGCGUGAGUGAUGAAGGUCUUCGGAUCGUAAAACUCUGUUAUUAGGGAAGAACAAAUGUGUAAGUAACUAUGCACGUAUUGACGGUACCUAAUCAGAAAGCAACGGCUAACUACGUG